GGCACAUUUAAGCUGUGCGCUCGCAGACGCGCAACUCAUGCAAGUGAUCAAAAUGCUAGAGCAUCCCAUUUAAAAUUUAAACUGUCACAGAAAGUCAGUUGAGUUGAAAGCCUGAGGGGGUGACAUUACCCUGCGAGCACAAACAAGAAAUGUCGACAAAACUGUUUCAUCUGGGCCUGCAGUAUUCUCCACCAGGAGAAGAAAUUCAUACACAUCUGGUAUGGCAUGAGGCAAAGGCUUUCACCUUACUCAGAGAGCACUUCUGAAAUUCUGGCCACCAACAUCAUCAAAAGAGCCAUGAGAAGUGAAAGUCAAAGGGGACAUUUGACCUCAAAACAAUGACAUAAACAAUAUCAUAAAAGUGUCUCUGGAGUGCAGCAUUACUGGUUUGACCAUCUUCAUAGAGAUAAAACACAACACUCCUCUUUUUCAUG
Long non-coding RNA from Myxocyprinus asiaticus (Chinese sucker), 434 nucleotides. RefSeq lists it as uncharacterized. The record is from RefSeq and is a predicted model, not a curated record. Lineage: Eukaryota; Metazoa; Chordata; Actinopteri; Cypriniformes; Catostomidae. The transcript is spliced from 5 exons.